AUGCACGCUGGCGGCGUGCCUAAUACAUGCAAGUCGAGCGAACAGACGAGGAGCUUGCCCCUCUGACGUUAGCGGCGGACGGGUGAGUAACACGUGGAUAACCUACCUAUAAGACUGGGAUAACUUCGGGAAACCGGAGCUAAUACCGGAUAAUAUAUUGAACCGCAUGGUUCAAUAGUGAAAGACGGUUUUGCUGUCACUUAUAGAUGGAUCCGCGCCGCAUUAGCUAGUUGGUAAGGUAACGGCUUACCAAGGCAACGAUGCGUAGCCGACCUGAGAGGGUGAUCGGCCACACUGGAACUGAGACACGGUCCAGACUCCUACGGGAGGCAGCAGUAGGGAAUCUUCCGCAAUGGGCGAAAGCUUGACGGAGCAACGCCGCGUGAGUGAUGAAGGUCUUCGGAUCGUAAAACUCUGUUAUUAGGGAAGAACAAAUGUGUAAGUAACUAUGCACGUCUUGACGGUACCUAAUCAGAAAGCCACGGCUAACUACGUG
Molecule: ribosomal RNA, 496 nt
Filed under: uncultured bacterium
Lineage: Bacteria
Description: partial 16S ribosomal RNA
Rfam family: Bacterial small subunit ribosomal RNA
Source: RNAcentral